RNAcentral lists this ribosomal RNA (253 nucleotides) under uncultured bacterium. RNAcentral describes it as "partial 16S ribosomal RNA". It matches the Rfam family "Bacterial small subunit ribosomal RNA", at positions 524 to 776 of the family's 1533-position model. The record is from RNAcentral.
UACGUAGGGGGCAAGCGUUGUCCGGAAUCAUUGGGCGUAAAGAGCGCGUAGGCGGCCCUGUAAGUCCGCUGUGAAAGUCAAGGGCUCAACCCUUGGAUGCCGGUGGAUACUGCAGGGCUAGAGUCCGGAAGAGGCGAGUGGAAUUCCUGGUGUAGCGGUGAAAUGCGCAGAUAUCAGGAGGAACACCAAUGGCGAAGGCAGCUCACUGGGACGGUAUUGACGCUGAGACGCGAAAGCGUGGGGAGCAAACAGG